This 497-nucleotide ribosomal RNA is filed under the name uncultured bacterium. RNAcentral's name for it is "partial 16S ribosomal RNA". It matches the Rfam family "Bacterial small subunit ribosomal RNA", at positions 28 to 507 of the family's 1533-position model. The record is from RNAcentral.
GACGAACGCUGGCGGCGUGCCUAAUACAUGCAAGUUGAGCGCUGAAGGUUGGUACUUGUACCGACUGGAUGAGCAGCGAACGGGUGAGUAACGCGUGGGGAAUCUGCCUUUGAGCGGGGGACAACAUUUGGAAACGAAUGCUAAUACCGCAUAAAAACUUUAAACACAAGUUUUAAGUUUGAAAGAUGCAAUUGCAUCACUCAAAGAUGAUCCCGCGUUGUAUUAGCUAGUUGGUGAGGUAAAGGCUCACCAAGGCGAUGAUACAUAGCCGACCUGAGAGGGUGAUCGGCCACAUUGGGACUUGGACACGGCCCAAACUCCUACGGGGGGCAGCAGUAGGGAAUCUUCGGCAAUGGACGAAAGUCUGACCGAGCAACGCCGCGUGAGUGAAGAAGGUUUUCGGAUCGUAAAACUCUGUUGGUAGAGAAGAACGUUGGUGAGAGUGGAAAGCUCAUCAAGUGACGGUAACUACCCAGAAAGGGACGGCUAACUACGUG